Trichechus manatus latirostris (Florida manatee) is the source of this 1746-nucleotide RNA transcript. It is a transcript of the gene named electron transfer flavoprotein subunit alpha, with no coding region annotated. Lineage: Eukaryota; Metazoa; Chordata; Mammalia; Sirenia; Trichechidae. The transcript is spliced from 13 exons. The record is from RefSeq and is a predicted model, not a curated record.
CGGCUGUGUGGUUUGGCCAGGCGGGUGUCUGGCGGGUGCCGGGCUCCGGGCCGCUGUGAGCAGAGGGUGCGGCGGGUGGACGGGAGCGGACAUCAUGUUCCGAGCGGCAGCCUCUGGGCAGCUCCGGCGGGCGGCCUCAUUGCUACGAUUUCAGAGUACCCUGGUAAUAGCUGAGCAUGCAAAUGAUACCCUAGCACCCAUUACAUUAAACACCAUCACUGCAGCCAAACGUCUUGGAGGUGAAGUAUCCUGCUUAGUAGCUGGAACCAAAUGUGACAAGGUGGCACAGGAUCUUUGCAAAGUAGCAGGUGUAGCAAAAGUUCUGGUGGCCGAGCAUGAUGCCUACAAAGGCUUCCUUCCAGAGGAACUGACGCCAUUGAUUCUAGCAACUCAGAAGCAGUUCAGUUACACACACAUCUGUGCUGGAGCAUCUGCCUUUGGAAAGAACCUUUUGCCCAGAGUAGCAGCCAAACUUGAUGUUGCCCCAAUUUCUGACAUCAUUGCGAUCAAGUCACCUGACACAUUUGUGAGAACCAUUUAUGCAGGAAAUGCUUUAUGUACAGUGAAGUGUGAUGAGAAAGUGAAGGUGUUUUCUGUCCGAGGAACAUCUUUUGAAGCUGCAGCAACAAGUGGAGGUAGUGCCAGUUCAGAAAAGGCAUCAAGUACUUCACCAGUGGGGAUAUCAGAAUGGCUUGAUCAGAAAUUAACAAAAAGUGAUCGACCUGAGCUAACUGGUGCCAAAGUGGUGAUAUCUGGUGGUCGGGGUUUGAAGAGUGGAGAGAACUUUAAGUUGUUAUAUGACUUGGCAGAUCAACUACAUGCUGCAGUUGGUGCUUCUCGUGCUGCUGUUGAUGCUGGCUUUGUUCCCAAUGACAUGCAAGUUGGACAAACAGGAAAAAUAGUAGCACCAGAACUUUAUAUUGCCGUAGGAAUAUCCGGAGCCAUCCAACAUUUAGCUGGGAUGAAAGACAGCAAGACCAUUGUAGCCAUUAACAAAGACCCAGAAGCUCCAAUUUUCCAAGUGGCAGAUUAUGGAAUAGUUGCAGAUUUAUUUAAGAUGAAGUGCAGUAAAAAGAACCACACCUUUUGACGGACUCUAGGAAACUAGACAAUACCCAUCAAACCAUUUUCUCAGCUGAAAUCGGAACUAGGGAGCUGUUACUCUGACACACACGGAGUCGCCUUGAGUUGGAAUUGACCCAACGGCAACUCGUAAAAGAUGAAUGUUACAACAAUGCAGACGGACUGGAUGAUUUAAUGAGUAUGCUUCUCACUGGGGCCGCCCCUCUCUUUUAAAAUCCAAUGCUUGAAGGUAGUUCCUGAAAUGACUGAGCUAUUGAAGAAAAAAUGAAUAAUGACCAUGUCUUAAGAAGGAAAACUGUCAAAGUAUUCAGCUGGAAUCAUGGAAAUUCAUGGAUAUUCUAACACGUAUUGGAGAACUUGGAGAGCUAAAUUCUCAUAAUUCGGGGGAAAAAAAUCUAAGACAUACCAGAAUGCUUUUUUAUGGGACUGUUAUAUUUCUUUUUAAUUAUUUUUGGUUCCAAACAAUUAUUUUUUGAAAUUUUCUAAUUCUGUAAUAAAAUAUAUAAUAAAGCCUUUCCACCGCUUUAAAACUAUCACCAGAAAUAUGCCUAUCUUCUUAAAGAGAAAAAAUUAAAGAACAGGAGUAAAAAUUAUUCUUUUUGCCUGUCUUGUUCAUGGAGGGCUCUAUGUUGUAGGAGAAAUUGUAAAGAUGAAUGUUCCCGC